GUCCACGCCGUAAACGAUGAGUACUAGGUGCGGGGGGUAUAAACUCCUUCCGUGUCGUAGCUAACGCGAUAAGUACUCCGCCUGGGAAGUACGGCCGCAAGGCUGAAACUCAAAGGAAUUGACGGGGGCCCGCACAAGCGGUGGAGCAUGUGGUUUAAUUCGAUGCUACGCGAAGAACCUUACCUGGGCUUGACAUCCAGAGAAUCCUGCAGAGAUGCGGGAGUGCCUUUCGGGGAACUCUGAGACAGGUGCUGCAUGGCUGUCGU
Molecule: ribosomal RNA, 266 nt
Filed under: uncultured bacterium
Lineage: Bacteria
Description: partial 16S ribosomal RNA
Rfam family: Bacterial small subunit ribosomal RNA
Source: RNAcentral